CAGCAGCCGCGGGAAUACAGAGGGUGCGAGCGUUAAUCGGAUUUACUGGGCGUAAAGCGUGCGUAGGCGGCUUCUUAAGUCGGAUGUGAAAUCCCUGAGCUUAACUUAGGAAUUGCAUUCGAUACUGGGAAGCUAGAGUAUGGGAGAGGAUGGUAGAAUUCCAGGUGUAGCGGUGAAAUGCGUAGAUAUCUGGAGGAAUACCGAUGGCGAAGGCAGCCAUCUGGCCUAAUACUGACGCUGAGGUACGAAAGCAUGGGGAGCAAACAGGAUUAGAUACCCCCGUAGUCCCUGUCUCUUAUAC
This 301-nucleotide ribosomal RNA is filed under the name uncultured bacterium. Its description in RNAcentral is "partial 16S ribosomal RNA". It matches the Rfam family "Bacterial small subunit ribosomal RNA", at positions 509 to 807 of the family's 1533-position model. The record is from RNAcentral.